Molecule: ribosomal RNA, 537 nt
Filed under: uncultured bacterium
Lineage: Bacteria
Description: bacterial SSU rRNA
Rfam family: Bacterial small subunit ribosomal RNA
Source: RNAcentral
GAUGAACGCUGGCGGCGUGCUUAACACAUGCAAGUCGAACGAUGAUCCCUAGCUUGCUGGGGGGAUUAGUGGCGAACGGGUGAGUAACACGUGAGUAACCUGCCCUUGACUCUGGGAUAAGCCUGGGAAACUGGGUCUAAUACUGGAUAUGACUGACUAUCGCAUGGUGGUUGGUGGAAAGCUUUUGUGGUUUUGGAUGGACUCGCGGCCUAUCAGCUUGUUGGUGGGGUAAUGGCCUACCAAGGCGACGACGGGUAGCCGGCCUGAGAGGGUGGACGGCCACACUGGGACUGAGACACGGCCCAGACUCCUACGGGAGGCAGCAGUGGGGAAUAUUGCACAAUGGGCGCAAGCCUGAUGCAGCGACGCCGCGUGAGGGAUGAAGGCCUUCGGGUUGUAAACCUCUUUCAGUAGGGAAGAAGCGAAAGUGACGGUACCUGCAGAAGAAGCGCCGGCUAACUACGUGCCAGCAGCCGCGGUAAUACGUAGGGCGCAAGCGUUAUCCGGAAUUAUUGGGCGUAAAGAGCUCGUAGGCGG